CAGAACACACAAGCACUUCCUAGACCAGGAUGAAUAAGUUUGUUUUAAAAGGUAGAGCAAAUAGCCCUGUUUUGAGCUUGGACUUUAGAUAAAACAAGAACUAUGGCUGAUUCCAGACCCCAGAGCCAGCUUCCAACCUUGUCCCUUGCUUCACUUUGCCCCUCAGUUUUUUCUUGUCAUUUUUUCCACCCCAGCUAGGGUCCUUCAAAGACUGCCUGGGUGCCCUGAGCAAAGCCAGUUGGGCCUAUAGUAUCAGGAUUCUCUCUGCUGUUACCCUCCCAUCUGUGGCUGCGUAGAAAGUGAUUUGUUCAUUUUUUAUAAGGAAGGGCAUUGAGUCCUGUUGGGUCAUUGCACGUGGUGGCAGGACUCUGUUUCUCCGUGGUUACAGCGCUUGAGUGAAAACCGCUUUCAGCCCAGUCCACUGAAGUUGUUCUCCUGAGUCCCGGGAGGCCAGUGAUGUAAUCAAAGAGUUCCAAUUGCUUUCAGGUCCUGCCAUUGGCUUGUUUCCCUGGGCUCGAGUCACCCACGAUGAAAAAGAAUAAUGUUCAAAUUUGAGGGAAUGAUCUGGAAUUCACACUUCUUUGCAGGCCACGUUUGUGUGCCGUUAACUACAAGUGUGAAGGUUUAUGAGGGCUAUGACGGAUGCUGGUGCUCUUACAAAGAAUAUGUGCAAGACUUGACCCCACACUCUUGCUGUCUGAUGCACCUAUUCAAACUAUCAGCCAGGAAACCACAUGCUUUGUCUUCUCCUUUGUGCCAGGAAUGAGUCCUGAUUUCCCAGUUACUAUCUGAAGUAUUAACAACUUUUAAAAGCUACAGGAAAAAGAUGAGGAAGAAGUGUUAGCUAUCAUUUGUUCUGAGCCAGCACUGGACAGAUGUGGGAAAUUUCCAUAGAGUGGAUGAAAAGUUCACUUGGCAGAGAAAUCAUUGUCCCCUCCCUGUGUCUCUCCUUUUACUUUGAUUGAUUCAAAAUAUUGUUACUGUAAAAUUAUUCAUAAUUUUACUGUUACUAUAAAAUUAUUCAGAAUAUUACUAUAAAAUUAUUCAAAAGAUUGUUAUAAAAUUAUUCAAAAUUUUUACUGUUACUGUAAAACUAUUCAAAAUCUCAUGACAAUAAAACUCCCUGAAUUUGUAGACUAUUAAAGUGAUCUCCACCAUA
Molecule: long non-coding RNA, 1159 nt
Filed under: Bos taurus (domestic cattle)
Lineage: Eukaryota; Metazoa; Chordata; Mammalia; Artiodactyla; Bovidae
Description: long non-coding RNA NONBTAT014075
Source: RNAcentral